GAUCGAUGGACCUAACGGUAACAACGUCAUUUCAUCCGCAAUGCUUUGAUGAGUAAUCGCAUGUGUGCUUGCAUCAAAAAAAAAGACGAUUGAGGCACCGUGCCAAUGGUCAAUGAUUGGUGGACAGAAAGGCUGGCACAUUCUUCUUUCCUGCCAAUAUCCAUUCUCACUUCCUCUGAGUCGAGCCCAGCUGUCACAGGCAGAUGGAAACAGGACAGAGAAAAGCCACAGAUCAGAUAACGGAUCACAAUCCUUAAAUUCUCAACUAAUACAGCCCCCAAACCUUCCUUCAGCACCACCUUGCCUUGACGAAAUGGGCCUUCACUAAAAAUCUCUGUUCCUUACAUUUAUGGAAACAUGGAGCUCAAAUCUAAAGGGGUUUAUUCUGACCCUAGACACAUCACAACAAUUCCCACAUUUGCUGGCCAUGUAUGGAUAUCAUAGGCAGAACCUCAAGAGGUGUGCAUGACCACCUGAUCUACGACCCUGGAUUCUCUGAACAAGAACUGGAGCCAUAAAUGUGGGCCGCAUUAACCCUGAAAUUAGGGAAGAGUGGUGCUGCAUUUUUCCACAAGUACCCACAAUGACCUCUCUUUUUCUUCUAUUGUCAUCAAAACAUUCUUUGUUCCCUGCACAUUAACCUCUGAACCUGCACUCAACUGUUAAAAUGGAGUAUAAUUCUAUUGGCUUUUGUUCACCACCUUAUCUUUAGAGCACUGUGCUAAAAUCUGUGUGUUUGCUUUGAUUUGGUGACCCUUUAAAGAUAUAUAUUAAUCUUUUUUGUAAAGAACUGAAGAUAAAUAUUAUUCAUUAUGUCUAUAUUCCAGGAACUACAGUAUGUUUCCUCAUAGUUCUCAGAUGCUGGGCAGCACAGCUUGAAUGAAUGAUCUUGAAGUGUACGGAGAUAAAAGGAAAAGUAAUCUUGAAAACACUCUGAAGAACAACUUAAAUGUAUGCGUGUUUGUCGCAGCGCUGUGUCCAUUCCUGCAACAGAGGGACUUCCAAGCAAGACAAGAAUCAAGAUUAUAAGAAGUUCAUUACUGAGAAACUCAUGUUUGAACUUUAACCUCAAAGGAUUUAAAAUGAAUGCGCCAGGACUCAAACCAGCAACCGUCAUGCUGUGAAGGAAUGACACUACCCACUGAGCCAUGAUGCUGCCCUUGACAGUAUUGUAUCAUCAAAGUCUAGUUCAGUCACAACAAACAACGACUGUGGCUUCAUUUAAAUGCUCAUUUGGGCUGCUGUAGCUCAAAUAGUAGAGUUUGGCUUUUAUUAAUACUAAGGUUAUGGGUUCAAUUCCCAGGGAAUGUAUGCACUGAUAAAAAUGUGAAUGCUAAUUUAUUUGGAAAUUAAAUAUGUAUUUUCCUUACCAGAGCAAAAACAGACAAAGUAAUCUGCCAUUUUGUGACUAAAAUGUACAUUACUCAAAAUUAACUUCUUGCUUAUUGAACUGUUGAAUAAUGAUGGGCAUAUGAAGAUGAUAUUCAACACAACAGCACUCUGGCUAUUGGUUAAUUAAAUCCUUGCAGUUAUUGUAUGCUGUGUAAUUGUGUAUAUGCAUAUGGAUAUUACUAAUUCAUUCAGCUUAUCUGAUGUCACAGCCAUAUCCUGUAUGCCCAUAAAACACAUAUUGACAUGUUUUUUGUGCGUCUGUCAUGAUGAGAGCCCUUCAUAGAUGAUUCAGCUGAAGAGAUUUCAUAAUACAUUCCAUGCAUUAGAGGACUCUGUGAUGAGCCCAGGGAAGAUUUAGAGCUUUAGAUUGCUUCUAGUCAUCACAAUUGUCAUUCAAAGCAUUUAUUUCCACAACCAUUUAUGCAAACAAUGAGAGGAGAUAGGAAAACUGCCUGCAGCCCCUAAACCAACCUGUGGAGCAUUGAGCAGUAGACAAAUAAAGCAGAGUGAUAAAUUAACCUAAUUAAAUGGUAAUAUUAUUAAUGUGGCUGGACCAC
Molecule: long non-coding RNA, 1949 nt
Organism: Sinocyclocheilus grahami
Lineage: Eukaryota; Metazoa; Chordata; Actinopteri; Cypriniformes; Cyprinidae
Exons: 3
Source: RefSeq, a predicted model, not a curated record